GUCUACGGCUGUGCUACCCUGAACAAGCCCAAUUCCAUAUGAUCUCGGAAAUUAAGCAGGGUAAGGCCUGGUUAGUACUUGGAUGGGAGACUAUCUAGGAAGACCAGAUGCUGUAGACG
This 119-nucleotide ribosomal RNA is filed under the name Pteropus vampyrus (large flying fox). The record is from RNAcentral. Lineage: Eukaryota; Metazoa; Chordata; Mammalia; Chiroptera; Pteropodidae.